GACGGCUUGUUCAAGCGUGGUUCGGAAUCACUGGGCGUAAAGCGCGUGUAGGCGGUUCGAUAAGUCGGACGUGAAAGCCCGGGGCUUAACCCCGGAAGGGCAUCCGAAACUGUCGAGCUUGAGUACGGGAGAGGGAAGCGGAAUUCCUGGUGUAGAGGUGAAAUUCGUAGAUAUCAGGAGGAACACCGGUGGCGAAGGCGGCUUCCUGGACCGAUACUGACGCUGAGACGCGAAAGCGGGGGGAGCACACAGGAGGCGAUAACCGCGUAGUCC
RNAcentral lists this ribosomal RNA (273 nucleotides) under uncultured bacterium. Its description in RNAcentral is "partial 16S ribosomal RNA". It matches the Rfam family "Bacterial small subunit ribosomal RNA", at positions 524 to 796 of the family's 1533-position model. The record is from RNAcentral.